Molecule: long non-coding RNA, 914 nt
Organism: Lethenteron reissneri (Far Eastern brook lamprey)
Lineage: Eukaryota; Metazoa; Chordata; Hyperoartia; Petromyzontiformes; Petromyzontidae
Source: RefSeq, a predicted model, not a curated record
UUUCAAACAGCGCUGGGGCGUGCGUUGAUUUCUCACAACAUCAGCCGUCGGUGACCGGGCUCAGACCGUGUGAAACUCACUGCAUUGGAGCAUCCCCGGAUCGAUAAGCAGGCUUCGAUGGGGCUGGCCACCAUGCUGCUUGGGGUGUCCGGGAGCUGGGAAGGAAUGGAGCCCAGGUCACUCCCUGCGGUGGAGUUCGAUCCGGGUCCCCCAUCAGAGAACCCCAUCUAACGACGAGAGGGAGGGGAGACGUUGAGCAGAGGCAAAGAUUCCCCCGUGUGGAUCUUCACACGCUAAGUACUCACACUAUAACGCGUUUUCUCCAGCAGCUGUCCUUCCAUACAACAUUGAACGUGCGCCGUUGUAAGUCGGAACGCGCGGCCUAGUAAGGCGGAACGCGCGCUGUUAUAAUGUGGAACACUCUCUGUUAUAAUACAGAAUGCACUCCGUUAUCACGCAGAACACGCUCCGUUAUAAUACAGAAUGCACUCCAUUAUAACACAGAACGUGCGCCAUUAUAACGCAGUUUCUGAGCGGUCAAUGACGAACUACUUUCUUGAGCAGCGUGGCUGAGCGGUAUGGUGAUGCAGUAGGCAGAACGAUAAAGUAACGUGGCGACAAACCCUAAGUUAUUUGUCCCGCCAUCUUACCGUGUAUGCACGUACAUCGUAACUUGCCGAACUUUAUCGUUACGUUAAUUAUGGGGAAAUUAUAGUCGCUUCACACGUUUUUCACUUAACGCGGCACUUUUCAGGAACGAAUCUACAUCGUUAGAGGACUUCCUGUAUAUAUAACAGCUGCUGAGCACAGGCCCAAAGGCCUGAAAUGCUGAGUGGUGAUCAACAAACGGUAAAAUUGAAGUUGUGAUAGAUAAGAGUUGCUCCAUUUUUUUUGCAUUCAGCAAAGUUACGAGA